Molecule: transfer RNA, 75 nt
Filed under: Aureispira sp.
Lineage: Bacteria; Pseudomonadati; Bacteroidota; Saprospiria; Saprospirales; Saprospiraceae
Also listed under: 2 other names
Description: tRNA-Asp
Rfam family: tRNA
About the family: Transfer RNA (tRNA) molecules are approximately 80 nucleotides in length. Their secondary structure includes four short double-helical elements and three loops (D, anti-codon, and T loops).
Source: RNAcentral
GGGGGAGUAGCUCAGCUUGGUUAGAGUGUUGGCCUGUCACGCCAAAGGUCGCGGGUUCGAUACCCGUCUCUCUCG